Molecule: long non-coding RNA, 1103 nt
Organism: Girardinichthys multiradiatus
Lineage: Eukaryota; Metazoa; Chordata; Actinopteri; Cyprinodontiformes; Goodeidae
Exons: 2
Source: RefSeq, a predicted model, not a curated record
AAAAAAAAACAAAGGCCUGUCUAAGAUGUUUCAAAAAACAUCUUAAUGAAACCAAAGACUUUGAACUAGUUUAUUUUUGUGUGUUAGUUCUGUUGGAAUUCCUCCCUGUUUCUCUCUCUGUUCUACUUCUGCUCACGACUUUCCUUCCCCAGCUCUCUCUUCCUUCAUUGAACUCAGCUGUUCCUCAUUUUCCACCUGAUUACUCUCACCGGGUUUUGCCAUGCCAUCUCCACACUUGUCCCUGUAUUUAAGCUCUCCGGUUUUCACUGCUCUUCACUGUGUCUUUCCGUUUCUAUGCCCGUUACACUUCCUGUUUUGUGCUGAAUGUGACUUUGCCUGUGUUCCCUGCUCUGAUAACCUUGUGCCAGCCAUGUUGCGCUCAGACUGCCGGUGUUCUGCGUCCCCUGCUGAUCCAUUGAUUUGUCUUUGAUGAAGCUGAUUCUGGAGGAGCAUGUGAUAAUGCUCCAUAUGUUUUUGCAGAAGAACUUCACAUGUCCAUCUGAAUGACAUCAGUAUUACAGGGUAUCUAAAGAAGCCUCUGACUGAAAACACUGUUGUCCUGACAGUCUCAUGAUCUCAGGGUUAUUCAUUAUGUUCUUCAUUUUUUGAAGAAUCCUUCUUUGCAUAAUCAUCAAUAGUGACUCAAGAACAUAUUAGAGAAAAGUCCCAGCUUUUAAUCAUCUUGCUGAGCUUUUUUAAGUCCCUGGCUCUAAAUGCUGCUACCUGAACAGAAGAGAUCCCACUCUCCAUAACAAACUUUGCAAACUUGCUCCAAACACUUACCGGACCGGAGGUUCCUCAAGAAGUAAAGUCUGCUCUGUUUCUACUUGUAGAAAGCUUUACUGUUAAGCCUCUGGUCCAGUCUGUUGUCCAGGUGAACAGCAAGAUAUUUAUGUAUAGUCCCCAACCAUCUCUGCUUUUUCACCCAAGAUGGAAACAAUGUUUGACAUUUUCCAGCUUUCUGUUCUCAGCCUCUUGUCCAUCUCUGAUGCACCCGACGGCUGCGGAGUCAUCCGAGUAUUUUUGCAGAUGACAAGACUCUCUUGUACUGGAGAUCUGAGGUGUACAGAGUUAAAAGGAAUAAAAACUGUGCUCGCUCUGUC